This 253-nucleotide ribosomal RNA is filed under the name uncultured bacterium. RNAcentral describes it as "partial 16S ribosomal RNA". It matches the Rfam family "Bacterial small subunit ribosomal RNA", at positions 524 to 776 of the family's 1533-position model. The record is from RNAcentral.
UACGGGGGGGGCAAGCGUUGUUCGGAAUUACUGGGCGUAAAGGGCUCGUAGGUGGCCAACUAAGUCAGACGUGAAAUCCCUCAGCUUAACUGGGGAACUGCGUCUGAUACUGGAUGGCUUGAGUUUGGGAGAGGGACGCGGAAUUCCAGGUGUAGCGGUGAAAUGCGUAGAUAUCUGGAGGAACACCGGUGGCGAAGGCGGCGUCCUGGAAAAUACCUGACACUGAGGCACGAAAGCUAGGGGAGCAAACAGG